Long non-coding RNA from Nomascus leucogenys (northern white-cheeked gibbon), 118 nucleotides. RefSeq lists it as uncharacterized. The record is from RefSeq and is a predicted model, not a curated record. Lineage: Eukaryota; Metazoa; Chordata; Mammalia; Primates; Hylobatidae. The transcript is spliced from 4 exons.
CACGUGGUGUUUGGUUACGUGAAUAAGUUCUUUAGUGGUGAUUUCUGAGAUUUUAGCGCACCCAUCACUCAAGCAGUGUACAGUUUACCCAAUGUGCAGGGAAGAGUUAAUAUUGUUA